UGAAGAGGGUGAGAGAGUCCAUCUUCAAAAGGGUAUUCUGGAGCUCCCACAUUUUUGCUAAGAAAGGCUGUCAGGAGAAGGAGACAGACUCUCUGGGUCUAAGAACUACGGGCCCCAGGAGAAUUUUCAGUCAACGUGGAAAUGCCAAGGAGGAUGAGGAGGUCUUUCCGAGAUUCAACAGGGUCUUCAUGAAAUCUCUGAAAUAUCUGUAUUGUGUUGGUCCCCCAAGUUUCUUUUGUGAAGAUGGGAGCAACAUGUGAUAUUCCCACUUCCUCUUUUUAAAACCAUCACUGGGCUGUCAUUUCAGCAACAUCUUAACAAAUGAAAAUCCUCCUCUGAGUCAAUAGUAAUUAUAGGAAUUUAUCACAAUUGCCAAUCAAGGUGUUCUGAAGAGACUCAUCUUUCUUGUUAAAUUAGCUUUCACUGCACGCAAACAGUGAGUUAUCUUUAG
This 451-nucleotide long non-coding RNA is filed under the name Equus caballus (horse). RNAcentral's name for it is "lncRNA (ENSECAG00000051049.1)". The record is from RNAcentral. Lineage: Eukaryota; Metazoa; Chordata; Mammalia; Perissodactyla; Equidae.